GGAGCACUGCCGCGUGAACGAUAGAANGCNUUCGGGAUCGUAAAGNUCUGUUGUUAGGGAAGAACAAGUGCCGCAGGCAAUGCCGGCACCUUGACGGUACCUUGCGAGAAAGCCACGGCUAACUACCUGCCAGCAGCCGCGGUAAUACCGUANGUGGCAAGCGUUGUCCGGAAUUAUUGGGCGUAAAGCGCGCGCAGGCGGCCUNUUAAGUCUGAUGUGAAAGCCCCCGGCUCAACCGGGGAGGGCCAUUGGAAACUGGGAGGCUUGAGUGUAGGAGAGAAGAGUGGAAUUCCACGUGUAGCGGUGAAAUGCGUAAAGAUGUGGAGGAACACCAGUGGCGAAAGCNACUCUUUGGCCUNUAACUGACGCUGAGGCGCGAAAGCGUGGGGAGCAAACAGGAUUAGAUACCCUGGUAGUCCACGCCGUAAACGAUGAGUGCUAGGUGUUGGAGGGUUUCCGCCCUUCAGUGCUGAAUCUAACGCAUUAAGCACUCCGCCUGGGGAGUACGGUCGCAAGGCUGANACUCAAAGGA
This 532-nucleotide ribosomal RNA is filed under the name uncultured Exiguobacterium sp. RNAcentral describes it as "bacterial SSU rRNA". It matches the Rfam family "Bacterial small subunit ribosomal RNA", at positions 388 to 908 of the family's 1533-position model. The record is from RNAcentral. Lineage: Bacteria; Bacillati; Bacillota; Bacilli; Caryophanales.